Sapajus apella (tufted capuchin) is the source of this 854-nucleotide long non-coding RNA. RefSeq lists it as uncharacterized. The transcript is spliced from 2 exons. Lineage: Eukaryota; Metazoa; Chordata; Mammalia; Primates; Cebidae. The record is from RefSeq and is a predicted model, not a curated record.
GUCCCUCCCCCCCACACACACACUGUCCCCAGCAAGAACCAGAGUGAGGUCGGAUGGAGAAAGCAGCAGGUGGUGGCUCCGCUCCUCCACCCAGCUGGUCCCCUCAAGAAGGGAAGUGACUGAUUCCAGAGACCUCCUUCCGGAAUGACCCCAGAGCAAAGAGGUACUUCCAGAACGAUCCCUGCAGAGGGUAAAAGUUGAAUUGGCCUCUUAGGCGCCAAUUGCAAGACCUAGAAGGAUCAAGAGGCUUGGACCAAUCCCUGGAGAGGGGACUGUGAUGUCAGGGAGACCUGAGUUCGAAUUUCUCCAACUGCCUGACAUUAAGCAAACUGCUGAAUUUUUCCGACUGUCUCGGUCCACUCCCCUUCAAAAUGAGACUCUAGAUACUACCUCCUGGGGCGGUGGUAGACACUGAACCCAGGUCGCCUGCGCUCGGAACCGCGCGCUCAGCUGCCACGUGCUCGAGACGCGCCCACACAGCGGAGAAACAAAGACAACCAAGCGGCAGGGCUGCCAGCAGCCUCCUCGACAUUUAAGAAAUGAAAUUCCAUAGCUGGGGGUCGAUCGAGGGUGAACAGGCGAGCGGCCACCGCUCGUGGACUGAGCGCCCGGCACCGGUUGCCUGGCCACUCCUCCCGUAUUCCCCUUCCCGUACCCACUUCCCGCUGGGGCCACCAAGACCAUAGUCUCCUUGCUGAGGGAGCAGCUCGGGGCGGCACGUGGUGCUCCCCCCUACAUACCCGUUAGGUAUCGUUGCUUGCAAAAGCCCCACCGGCUGAGCGGCUGGCUGUUGGGGGAGGGGAGGCCUGCAAGAUUUUUUUAAGGUGCAAUUAUAAAUAAAGCCCAAAGAUCGC